This 2741-nucleotide long non-coding RNA is filed under the name Nicotiana tabacum (common tobacco). Its description in RNAcentral is "long non-coding RNA (NTAB_LNC010202)". Lineage: Eukaryota; Viridiplantae; Streptophyta; Magnoliopsida; Solanales; Solanaceae. The record is from RNAcentral.
CCGUACUUAAGGGCCAGUUCUUUCCAUAAAUGAGUCUCGGGCGUCGUAACAUACGAGAUCUUCUUAACCCACUUGCCCAAGCCUUCUACCACUGAUGGGAUCCAUCGAGUCACUGUAACAUACGAAGGUUGGAGGAUCAAUACAAACAUGAAAUAAUAUUUAGUAAGAGAAAAUAUAUUAAAAAGAAAUCUUAUGAGUACGAUUCCAAGCGCUCGGAAAGGAUGAUGCGGUUGACAGAAUAAUAUUAUUGGUGGCAGUUGCAAAGAACCGUUUCGCCCACCCACGAUCAUUUUCAUCGUCCAUGCUAGUCAACAAAGCAUGGUGGCCACGUUUGCAGAGGUUUAUCAUACAUCCCUGAAAAAUCUUGGGGGAGUAAAGGUUCAUCAUACGAGCUAAUGAUAGCUCUUCCCCAGUUUCCUGACACAGGCAGCGAAGGCAGGCAACCGUCCUCCAUACUGAAGGGCUUACCUGUGCUAAGAACACUUGGUAGCGAAGGCAAAUUUCUGCAAUCACGGAAGGGUCAUUGGCUCCGAUAGAUCAGGAGCGAUGAUAUCCAAUUCAUGGCAACGAUAAUCUUCCUUCACAGCGAGAAUACUGGAAGGACGAAUGGAAGAAGGGUACCUGCUAACAUCCUAUGUACGAGGGUUAGCAUAAAGAAAUUUCUCCUCAAAAUCCUUUACGGUAUUUAGUCUUUUUGGUAUGAUGGAGUCUACGGUUGAAGCGACAAAGUCGUCGAUUUUGUUUUUGCCUUUCGAAGAACCAGUACGUUUUGAAGAGGAAGUAAUCGAAAAAGAGAAAGGGUUUUUGUUUGAAGAAGAUGAAGACUCGGUAGGUGAAAUGAGAUGAAAGAAGUUGAAAUGCAAGGGAGGAAGUUGAUACGUAUAAGUAAAGUUUUGGCGGCUAAAUCCUUGGCUAAGAUUACCUCGAGGCAUUAAAUGCAGAGAGACAAGCGUCUAAUCAACCGUCAGUGGCCUUCAAAAGGAAUUAUAGUAAUUUUCGCCAAAAGAGUGUUUCUACCAACUUUCCGGUAACACAAAGUUAUGUCAUCGGAAAGCAGGGGGACUAUCUGUAUAGGAAAAAAUGCGACAUGACACGUGGCUGCUUAAAGGAAGGAUACGUGGAACACAAGAUGGAGAUGGCCACCGAACAUAGCUAUUCCGCUUGUCACCGGAAAGAAUAACGAUCAUAAAAGGAGUAUUAAAUGCUUUGCGCCCGGUAAAAUUUAAUACAGAAUAUUUUACAGCAUUAAGGAUGAUGGCCCGUUAUAAAAAAUUUGGUAUUUAUGUCUAACGUUACAUCUUCACCAAUGACCCUCAUAAUUGACAUUAAAGAAGGGCAUGAUCCUAGGACUUCAUUCCCUAAACAUAGCUAUAAAUAGAGAGCUCAGUUAUCAUUGUAAGGGACGAAAUUUCUGGCUAACUCACACUACAUUCUAUACAACAUUGUAAUAUAAUUUUAUUCUCUCGCUUUUGAUCUCAUCAUUGUUGUGCCCGGAAACCAUGUUCCCGGACUCAUCAGCUCUGUCAUUCUAUCUACAUUUUAAGGCUAAGUAUUUUACAUUUCAUCGGUUAUUUCAUUAUAUUUUGGAUCAAAUUAAUUUACUUGUUUAAAAACCACGAAUAAAUUUAACUGUAUCGUUUUACCGGUAAACAAAAUGAAAUGUCUGUAAGAACGUAAAGAAUACCCAUUACUAUAUUGGGAAAUCUCAAACAACCUAUUUAGUUACGUAUAAUUGUACCGAUUAAUUGAAGAUAAUCAUUUUUCGAAGAAACAUAAAGAAUGAAAAGAUUUAAGAAAGUAUAACAGCACUAUGAUUAAUGAAAUCUAAUCCUAAUUAUCAGUUAGAUGAGGUGAAAUUAUAAUCUUUACCGAACUAAUGCCACUAUAAUACAAUAGCUUCUUAUUAUAUAUGGCGAACAUCUAUAUAGUAGAAUAAUGGCAAAAAAAAAAAGGAAAGUCAGCAUACUCUAUAUUAUUACCAGCAUUAUCAGUUUUGAUCAAAACCCUACACAAAAAUUCCUACAUAAUGGCUUCCAUAUUGCAAGUCCGUAAUAAUAGGAGAAGUAGAAUCAAAAUUUCAACUUUAUAAGUUUUGAAUUUUAAAACGACAAUUCAACCUCGCCCUGAAUAAGAGUAUAUCUCCAAUAUUUAUUCAUACUCUUUGUUUUUGGUCCCUAUGAGAAAACGUUCAUAGGCUUUGUUUCCAAGUAGAUAUUUUCAAUAGAUCUAUACCUUUUCUUCUUUGACUUGAGAUUAAUAACUUCUUCACCAGACUUUGAUCCCACAUGUUGAUCACUUUUGUUUUUCCUCUUAUUCUUCUUCUCCUUUUCCAGCUUGCUAUAAGUAGCAUCAUCACUUCUCUGCAUUUUCUUUAUCUCUAACUCUGCAGACCCCUCUUGCAAUACAACUUUACAACCAAACAACACUAAAUCACGCAUUUUUCUCUCGUUAAUUAAUUAUAGCUUCCAUGCCUACGUUUGUAAAAAAAUUGGCUUUGUAUUUAAACCAAAACGUGUCUUGGGGGUUUGGAGGGAGAGGGAGAAGUGGGGAGAAACUGCUGUUUGUGUGCGGUGAAGGCAGGGGGAAGCUUCAUGUAUUUAUACAUCUGUGUAUAUAUACGUUUUUUCAAUAUCUUCUCUAUAUUGGUCUGUGUUUGGAUUUAGGAAAAUAUAAGAACUAUAUGUAGUUACUUUAUUUAAGUCAAUUUGUAUUUUGGGUUUACUUAGUCAUCAAUCCCGCCG